UACGGAGGGUGCAAGCGUUAUCCGGAUUCACUGGGUUUAAAGGGUGCGUAGGUGGGUUGGUAAGUCAGUGGUGAAAUCUCUCAGCUUAACUGAGAAACUGCCAUUGAUACUGCAGGGCUUGAGUACAGAUGAUGUUGGCGGAAUAUGACAUGUAGCGGUGAAAUGCAUAGAUAUGUCAUAGAACACCGAUUGCGAAGGCAGCUGACAAAACUGUAACUGACGCUGAGGCACGAAAGUGUGGGGAUCAAACAGG
Molecule: ribosomal RNA, 253 nt
Filed under: uncultured bacterium
Lineage: Bacteria
Description: partial 16S ribosomal RNA
Rfam family: Bacterial small subunit ribosomal RNA
Source: RNAcentral